UUUUCAAAAAGACGGAACGACGCCGUAUUGAGCUUGGGGCAUGAAAGAUACCGACGAGGGAUGGUCAAAAAGGCGGUCCAUGUCGGAUUCAAUUUCAGUUCGUUUCGCGAACCGGCCUUUGAUUCUGGGUCUGGUUUCUGCAUAUGCCUUGCGGGAAGCGUAGCGUAUGGUCUUUUCAAAUUUCCGAUUCUUCCUCUUCUCUCUGUA
Molecule: unclassified non-coding RNA, 207 nt
Filed under: Hevea brasiliensis (rubber tree)
Lineage: Eukaryota; Viridiplantae; Streptophyta; Magnoliopsida; Malpighiales; Euphorbiaceae
Source: RNAcentral